AUGCUAAAAAUCCGUGUUAAACAGCCAAGGCAUCAAGGCUAGCGAUUCCUCGAACUCCACUCCGCCGGCCUCCUAAAAAGCUUGGAGAACCUGAAAAUAUAAUUUGCAUAAAAGCAUGAGCCCAAACACUAGCUCAGUAAGGACAUUAGUCUUAGUCUGACGAACUCACGCCUCUAUCAUCGUAUCACUCACGACCUAUGGGAGUCCUAAAGUAUUCGUCUAUGUCCUUUCCAACUAAUUAUGUUAUCUCUACAAACACGUCACACAUAUUCAAGCAUAUAAUUACACAUAUAAGCACAUAACAUAUUUUCCUUGAAGUCGAGAGCAUUAUAACAAAAGUAUGGUUUUGUUUCGAAAACUACUUGAAAAUCAUUCUGGAAAUAAUUCAUGUAAAUUAAUUCAUAAUUUACUUGGGAAUCCAAUUUAGGCAUAAAGUCCCUUUCCUUUAAAAAUUUCUUUUAAAAUCUUUUGAAAAUCAUCUUGCUUCUAAAACCAUUUUUAUGCAUGGAUGCUUAUGACAGGAUCCCUAUCAAAACCCUAACGUAAGCAUCGACAAUAGACGUUUUUAUACUGAGCCCGGUCUUUGGUGAGAGCUACCCACCCUGCAGUCUAUAGUAACUUGUCAUUUUGGGAUACCGGCCCGCCGUAUCCCGUGUCUAUUCAUCGGAGCAACGUUACUGUUUCGACUCUUCUAUACUAGACCAUGAAACCAUUUAAUGACUCGAGGAAUGCACAUAAAUUAAAGAUCUUAAUACACCAUUCAAAUAAACAGUAAUAAUUUCAAGUACGUCAUUCACAUAAUUCGAAGGAGUUAAAUCACAUAACUUGAUAAUCAAAUCAUAAAAUUCGGAAGCAAUUUCCGAAAUAAUAGUAAGAACAUAUAGAUCAAACAUUAGUAAUAAAGACACAUAUACUUUUACACGUAUAUACACAUAGGCACUUAUCCGUAUUUAUAUACUUAUACAUAUACGUAUAUACUCUAAUUUAUAACUAUGGGUUAUAAGUUUCCUCAACCCGAGGGGAGUACGCCUAUAACAUCAUAGGUCUAAACUAUCGAUAUACAUAUAUAUAUACUUAUAUAUAUACAUACUUAUACCUCAUAAGAGUAAAACACAUUUUUCAAAUAAUCAUCAUGAAAUUCAAUAUUUCACAUAAUUGCUAUUCAAAGGACCAUAGAAAAUCGAAUCUAUUAAAAGUACUAGCACAUAGAAAGUUUCAAGAACAACUUAUCGCUCUAAAGAUAUACUAGUCUUUUUAUCUUACAUAUAUCUACUCUAAUAAUGGUUCUUAGAUGGGGACAUAAUAAUCUAAGCAACAUAAUCUAUAUUUAUUACCAUGUUAAGUCAUGCCUCAAGAGUUUAAACCGUGCCCACAAAGGACCCCUUUAAUCCAAAGUAAUUCGUUUUUAGGAAAAUCUGACAGUUUUGACACUUUAACUUUGAAAAUACAUUUCUCUUAAACCGUUACUCCAAAAAUUCUGAAACUUUAACAAAAAUUCUGAAACUUUAAAACAGUUUUCCAAAAUAACCAGUAGCCUAAGAGAAAUAAGUAAAACAGUACAGUAGUAUGGUCACACUUUCAGAAACAGAACCAGCCCACUUUAAAAAUACCCAAUAAAUCACUCUUUUGUUAAAACACUGCACACCUUUGUCGAAAACUGGUUUUAUAAGUUAUAAAUCCAUUCCAAGUAGAAUAAAGGAAAUCAAACUGGGAAAACAUCGAUUUUAAAAGCAAGUCCUCAGCUGACUCAAAAACUGCGCAGGUUUAGUAAAUAAUUCAUAUCUUAAUCAUCUGAAAUCCGAUUGAUGAUUAAAAUAUAUCAAAUUAAAGAGAACAGAAAGAUCUAGUUACCCAUGAAAUUUCGUGAUUUUAAGAAAAGAGGGCAUCUGUGAAACAUGCAGUAAACUCCGAGACUGAAAAUCUGAAAAUUCAUUAGUGAUCUAUAUCUACAUCUUUGAUCAAAACAGAUCUGGCAGUUUAGGCACUAUAACUUCAGAAAUUCAUAUCUCCUAAACCGUAGAUCCAAACCUGAUGAAAUUUGGUACGCAUGUUCAUAUAUAAGUCUAGUUAAUAGGGUUAAAACAGUUUAUGAAGAAACUCGUCUAUGGGAGAGAUAUAAUCAGUUUAGUGCAGUAACAUAAGCAGAAAUUCAGAACAGACCCACUAACUUUUAAAAAUACCAAAUAAUUCAUUACUUAAUCCAAAAAUUACCAAAUUUUGUAGAAUAUUAGUUUCAUAAGUAAAUAAUCAUAUUCAGGUGAAAUCACUUCAAUACGAGUAGUAUAAAAAGCUAUUUAACACAUAAUUCGUAGAUGACUCCGAAACUGUGCAGAUUCAGAAAACGAUUCAUAACUCACUCAAUACAUAUCCGAUUUAUGCAUAAUUUAUAUCCACAUGAAGCUAACCGAAGGAUCUAGACUACCAUCAAAUUUCAUAAUUUUAUCUUAGGGAUUACCCGAUGAGACAUGCAAUACAAUCAGAAGCUACGAAACUGAAAUUCAAGUAGUGUUCGUCAAGAACUUUAUCUUCUAAAGCCCAAAAUUAAGACCACAAACAUAUAGUUCAUUAAAACCCAUAUAAUUUAUAUUAAUUAGGUUAUUAUUUCAGUAAACACAAACGUCCUUACCCAAGAGCAAGAAAUCGAAGAUGAAGGAGCGGGUUUGGCUUGGAUGUUCUUGGAUGGCUUUGGGGCUAAGUUUGAAGGAUGUGAAGGGGCUGUUGCUUGAAGAUUUUUAGCAGAAUUGCAGAAGAGGGAGUUUCUCUUGGAGAGGAAUUGAAGAGAGGAAGGAGAGAGGGGCUUUGAUGGGGUGAUGGAAGAAGAGAAUUCUUCUUUGGGGCUGUUUUUUAUCGAUGGAGAGGGAGAGGAGAGGGGCCUUUUG
This 2879-nucleotide long non-coding RNA is filed under the name Erythranthe guttata (spotted monkey flower). RNAcentral's name for it is "long non-coding RNA (EGUT_LNC000741)". The record is from RNAcentral. Lineage: Eukaryota; Viridiplantae; Streptophyta; Magnoliopsida; Lamiales; Phrymaceae.